CGUCAAAGGUUAACUAUUUUUACCCCCAAAUUUCUUAAACAAACUAAAACCCUACCUUAGUACUGAAUAAUUCUAUAUUUUUAUGGAAAACAUAAUGUUAAAACUAGUAACAAGAAAUUAACCUUCUCUAAAAUGUGAGUGUAAGUCAGAAUGGACACUACACUGACAACUAACAACUUUAGACCCACAGUAACAACCUCACCCCAAGAAAACCCUACUAAUACAUUUGUUAAUCUAACACAAGAACAUUUAAAGAAAGACUAAAAGAAAAAGAAGGAAUUCGGCAAAAACUGAUUUCGCCUGUUUACCAAAAACAUCGCCUCUUGACAAGAUAUAUAAGAGGUCCCGCCUGCCCAGUGACUUGUUUAACGGCCACGGUAUCCUAACCGAGCGAAGGUAGCGUAAUCACCUGUUUUUUAAUUGAAGACCUGUAUGAAAGGCAUCACGAGAAUCACACUGUCUCCUUUAUCUAGUCAGUGAAACUAAUCUUCCCGUGAAAAAGCGGGAAUUUCUAUACAAGACGAGAAGACCCUUUGGAGCUUAAGACACUAUUAAUAUAUUGCUCGCCCACUUUAACUUUACCUUAUGCAAUACUACUUAUGAGUCUUGGGUUGGGGCAACCACGGAGUAAAAACCAACCUCCACGCUGAAUGGAACUUUCCUAAACAAAAAGCCACAGCUUUAUGUAUCAAAAAACUGACACCAUUAGACCCAACAUUUUGAUUAACGAACCAAGUUACCCUAGGGAUAACAGCGCAAUCCACUUCAAGAGUUCCUAUCGACAAGUGGGCUUACGACCUCG
RNAcentral lists this ribosomal RNA (802 nucleotides) under Eleutherodactylus furcyensis (furcy robber frog). Its description in RNAcentral is "partial 16S ribosomal RNA". It matches the Rfam family "Bacterial large subunit ribosomal RNA", at positions 1485 to 2528 of the family's 2925-position model. Lineage: Eukaryota; Metazoa; Chordata; Amphibia; Anura; Eleutherodactylidae. The record is from RNAcentral.